Molecule: long non-coding RNA, 1644 nt
Organism: Cyanistes caeruleus (blue tit)
Lineage: Eukaryota; Metazoa; Chordata; Aves; Passeriformes; Paridae
Source: Ensembl
GAGCGGGAAGUGAAAGAGCCGCCCCUGCCCUGUUCCUGCUCCCCGUGCGCUGCUUGUGCGGCCAAUCUUCCGCAGCGUGUCCGGGGCUGCGGGUGCGAUGGAGACAAGUGCCGAGAGGUUUGUGCACACGAGGCUUUGGCUUUCCUGCUCUCGAGGGGAGCUCAUCCCCUUUCCCAGUGCCCAGAGCAGGAUCCACAUUUACUUUCCCCUAAAAGCCUCUGUUUUGGGGUGGUUGUAAGACCCUCUGGGACUGCUCUGGGGGACGUGUGGGUGCUUUGUUCUAGCGGCCGCCUUGUCUCGUGGUGCUUGUUUUGGGGGACAGAGACCCAGCACCAUGCGGGGGGCCCCCUGACCCCUCUGCCGUGCUGGGGUCGUGGGGAGAGCAGCUGGGUCCCCUCUGCCGUGUCCCCCCUCCUCUGCAGCUCAGGGGCCCCAAGGAGCCCACGGCAAGGGGGUCCCAGCGGGCGGGGUGCGGCCCCGGGGCUGUUCGGCAGCCCGCAGCCGCCUCCCUGGCCGAUCCCUCUUCUUCCUCCCAACCCUCCUCCUCUUCCCGCCACCGCCCUCCCCCACUCCUUGCUUUGUUUCGCUGCCUCCGCACUCCCCUCAUCCCCUUCCUUCUCCUCCUUCUCCCACCCCCAUCCUCUUCCUCUCCGUCUGCUCGCUGCAGCCCGCAGCCGCCCGUCCCCUCCGUCCCGUCCCUCCCGAGCGCUGCCCGCCGCCUCGCCGGGGUGCCCGGGCAGGGGAAGGGGUGCCCGGGCAGACGGGGCUGCCUGGCUGAGACCUUCCCCUGGCAGCUCAACCUGGGCAAGGUCCCCUCACCGGCUGGAUCUGACCCUGGGCCGAGCCACCAGGGCCAGUGCCAGCCCCGAGGUGGCCCUGCAGUUGGCAGGGACCCGGUGCCCCACAAGUCUGCGGGCAGCCAAGCCCCUCUGGUUGGUGUUGCUCCCCUUCUCUCUUUUCUCGCACUGGUUCUUGACCUUCCCCCUCAUGCCAUCCUGUUCCCCAUCCCACGCCUUGUGCUGUGCUGCUGUUUGGGUGUGCAGGGCACUGGUGCCAGGGUUUUUGGGGUCGGCAGGAGCACAGAGAGGCCAAUGUCCCUGGCCAUCCCCAGUGGCCCCGCAGCCGACCUGGCUGCAGCGAUGGUGCCCAGGCACUGUGGGGUUCCCCUUCUCCAAAGUGGAGGUUCAUCCCACGAUCUCAUGCAGGGCAGGUUCUCCUGGGACUGUGACAGGAUCCGGCUCAGAAUUUAUCCCUGAUUUACCUCCCCCGCAGGAUCUCUUUGUUGUAGCUGCAGGAAUAAUUGUAUUUAGGAGAGCACUCCUUCAGCAGGAGGAAGCGGCAGCUCCCAGGCGCAUCCCUGCCUGUCAUCACUGGCUGCUGGGGGUGCUGAGGGUGCUGGGACCCCCGGUGGGAUGUGCUGGGACCCCGGGGGGGUGUGCUGGGACCCCCGGUGGGGUGUGCUGGGACCCCCGGUGGGGUGUGCUGGGACCCCGGGGGGUGUGCUGGGACCCCCGGGGGAUGUGCUGGGACCCCCGGGGGAUGUGCUGGGACCCCGGGGGAUGUGCUGGGACCCCCGGGGGAUGUGCUGGGACCACCGGGGGAUGUGCUGGGACCACCGGGGGAUGUGCCGGCCACCAGAGCUGA